This 1167-nucleotide long non-coding RNA is filed under the name Ricinus communis (castor bean). RNAcentral's name for it is "long non-coding RNA (RCOM_LNC000385)". Lineage: Eukaryota; Viridiplantae; Streptophyta; Magnoliopsida; Malpighiales; Euphorbiaceae. The record is from RNAcentral.
UAAUAUUUUUUAAGUUUUAGACAGAGAAGGGGUCUGAGCGUGACCGUCAAAUCUACAAAUUCUCUCUCUCUCUCUCUCUCCUUCGCUCUCUUUCUCUCUUCCAUCUUCUCAGUUACUCUCUUUCUCCCUCUACAAAGCUCUCUCGUUUUUAAUAUUUUAUAUCUUCUAAAUUAAAUUCUCAUAAUUUAGAGAGUAAAGAGAAAGAAAGAAAGGUGAUUCAGUUCAAGAAAUUAUAAUCCGCGAUCGUUUUAUUUCUCGGGAAUCUCUCUUCUUCAAUCUGUGUCUUCUCUUUCCAGAAUAUAAUGUUCCAGAUUUUCAAGGUACCCAAUACUGCCUAUCAUAAAUUUACACUAUUAUUUAUAUAUAUGGAAAAGACAAAGUACAAUAAAAUAAUUCAAUUAAUGUUCUCUUUGUUUUGUUUUGUUUUAGUUGAUGGGUUUGUUUCUUAAUUAGCUUUCUAGAACUAAAUGUCUUUGAUCUUAUUUUUUGUUAAAUUCUUCAUUUUCUUUUAAAGAUCUUUAUAUGGUAACUGGGUUGUUUUUAGAUUUUAUUUUUAGUUUUGCAAAUGGAAACUUCUUUUGUUUUGUUUAAAUGGGUUUUAUUUUUGUUGCUAUUUUGGGAAUUUUAUGCUUAUGAAAGUGAAACUUUUUCAAGUACGUUUGAAUUCCCAAUUUUGGUUUCUGAUAUAAUUCCUGAAUUUUAAGUCAAAAUCUCAUUUGGAUUUUGUUUAGCUCUGUUAUCAACAUUUGUGUCUUCCUUUUCUUUUCUUUUUGUUUAUAAAUAUCUAUAAAUUUCAAUAUUUUUGAAAAUAAAAAUUUGUAAAGAUUAAUGAUGUUGUCUGUGCAGCAGGAGUACAGAGAUAGGGGGAGAGAGAGACUAAUGGCCUCAUCUUCUCUGCAUCAUUGACUGUUUUUUUCUUUUUUGGUUACAGUUUGGGAUUCUUCUUUGAAACUGAGUUUUAAAGAUGGGUAUUUUCUCAGUACAAAUAAAAAAGUUCCCUUUUAUGGAAAAUGGGAUCUGCUUUUACACAUCUCAUCAUAAAUAAUAAUAUUAAUAGUAAUAGUAAUAAUAAUAAUAAUAAUAAUAAUAAUAUAAAUAAUAAUAAUUGGAUGUUUGUUAUCAGAUCCCUUUGUGUGUUCAAAAAAAAAAGUGGAACCCAUAGAGGUC